Molecule: ribosomal RNA, 449 nt
Filed under: uncultured bacterium
Lineage: Bacteria
Description: partial 16S ribosomal RNA
Rfam family: Bacterial small subunit ribosomal RNA
Source: RNAcentral
AGCGAACGCUGGCGGCAGGCUUAACACAUGCAUGUCGAACGGGCACUUCGGUGUCAGUGGCAGACGGGUGAGUAACACGUGGGAACGUACCUUUUGGUUCGGAACAACUGAGGGAAACUUCAGCUAAUACCGGAUAAGCCCUUACGGGGAAAGAUUUAUCGCCGAAAGAUCGGCCCGCGUCUGAUUAGCUAGUUGGUAGGGUAAUGGCCUACCAAGGCGACGAUCAGUAGCUGGUCUGAGAGGAUGAUCAGCCACAUUGGGACUGAGACACGGCCCCAACGCCGACGGGAGGCAGCAGUGGGGAAUAUUGGACAAUGGGGGCAACCCUGAUCCAGCCAUGCCGCGUGAGUGAUGAAGGCCCUAGGGUUGUAAAGCUCUUUUGUGCGGUAAGAUAAUGACGGUACCGCAAGAAUAAGCCCCGGCUAACUUCGUGCCAGCCGCCGCUGUAA